GAUCGCAGUCUGCAACUCGACUGCGUGAAGGUGGAGUCGCUAGUAAUCGCGGAUCAGCAACGCCGCGGUGAAUGCGUUCCCGGGCCUUGUACACACCGCCCGUCAAGUCAUGAAAGUGGGCAGCACCCGAAGACGGUGGCCUAACCCUUGUGGGGGAGCCGUCUAAGGUGAGGCUCGUGAUUGGGACUAAGUCGUAACAAGGUAUC
This 206-nucleotide ribosomal RNA is filed under the name uncultured bacterium. RNAcentral describes it as "partial 16S ribosomal RNA". It matches the Rfam family "Bacterial small subunit ribosomal RNA", at positions 1296 to 1500 of the family's 1533-position model. The record is from RNAcentral.